Molecule: ribosomal RNA, 246 nt
Filed under: uncultured Lactobacillus sp.
Lineage: Bacteria; Bacillati; Bacillota; Bacilli; Lactobacillales; Lactobacillaceae
Description: partial 16S ribosomal RNA
Rfam family: Bacterial small subunit ribosomal RNA
Source: RNAcentral
CGUGGGGAACCUGCCCCAUAGUCUGGGAUACCACUUGGAAACAGGUGCUAAUACCGGAUAAGAAAGCAGAUCGCAUGAUCAGCUUUUAAAAGGCGGCGUAAGCUGUCGCUAUGGGAUGGCCCCGCGGUGCAUUAGCUAGUUGGUAAGGUAAAGGCUUACCAAGGCGAUGAUGCAUAGCCGAGUUGAGAGACUGAUCGGCCACAUUGGGACUGAGACACGGCCCAAACUCCUAGGGAGGCAGCAGCC